Molecule: ribosomal RNA, 417 nt
Filed under: uncultured bacterium
Lineage: Bacteria
Description: partial 16S ribosomal RNA
Rfam family: Bacterial small subunit ribosomal RNA
Source: RNAcentral
AAUAUUGGUCAAUGGAGGCAACUCAGAACCAGCCAAGCCGCGUGAAGGAUGACUGCCCUACGGGAAGUAAACUUCUUUCUUAAGGGAAUAAAGUGAGCGACGUGUCGCGUUCUGCAUGUACUUUACGAAUAAGGAUCGGCUAACUCCGUGCCAGCAGCCGCGGUAAUACGGAGGAUCCGAGCGUUAUCCGGAUUUAUUGGGUUUAAAGGUUGCGCAGGCGGAAUAUUAAGUCGGCGGUGAAGGCUUGCAGCUUAACUGUAAAAUUGCCGUUGAAACUGGUUUUCUUGAGUGUAUAUGAAGUAGGCGGAAUUUGUAGUGUAGCGGUGAAAUGCAUAGAUAUUACAAGGAACUCCGAUUGCGAAGGCAGCUUACUAAAAUACAACUGACGCUCAGGCACGAAGGCGUGGGUAUCAAACA